CUGUGUGUAGUGCGAUGUGGGGACGGAUCUUAAUAGGUCAUCCGGGUGUUGGAUAUCCCGGUUUAGGCAGAUGUAGGCGACAGGUAGGCAAAUCCGCCUGUCAUAUACCGAGGCUGCCGAUCGAGCGAGCUUGCUCGCGAAGUGAUUGAACGAGGUUCCAGGAAAAGCCACUAAGCUUCAGCUACACACGACCGUACCGCAAACCGACACUGGUGCGCGAGAUGAGUAUUCUAAGGCGCUUGAGAGAACUCGGGAGAAGGAACUCGGCAAAUUGACACCGUAACUUCGGAAGAAGGUGUGCCCUAUUAGUGUGAAGUGAACAACGGAGCGUGAAUGGGUUGCAAAAAAUCGGUGGCUGCGACUGUUUAUUAAAAACACAGCACUCUGCAAACACGAAAGUGGACGUAUAGGGUGUGACGCCUGCCCGGUGCUGGAAGAUUUAAUGAUGGGGCGCAAGCUCUUGAUUGAAGUCCCAGUAAACGGCGGCCGUAACGAUAACGGUCCUAAGGUAGCGAAAUUCCUUGUCGGGUAAGUUCCGACCUGCACGAAUGGCGUAACGAUGGCCACACUGUCUCCUCCCGAGACUCAGCGAAGUUGAAAUGUUUGUGAUGAUGCAAUCUCCCCGCGGAAAGACGGAAAGACCCCAUGAACCUUUACUGUAGCUUUGUAUUGGACUUUGAACAGAUCUGUGUAGGAUAGGUGGGAGGCUUUGAAGCAGGGUCGCUAGAUCUUGUGGAGCCAACGUUGAAAUACCACCCUGGUGUGUUUGAGGUUCUAACCUAGGUCCAUUAUCUGGAUCGGGGACAGUGCAUGGUAGGCAGUUUGACUGGGGCGGUCUCCUCCCAAAGCGUAACGGAGGAGUUCGAAGGUACGCUAGUUACGGUCGGACAUCGUGACGAUAGUGCAAUGGCAUAAGCGUGCUUAACUGCGAGACUGACAAGUCGAGCAGAUGCGAAAGCAGGACAUAGUGAUCCGGUGGUUCUGUAUGGAAGGGCCAUCGCUCAACGGAUAAAAGGUACUCUGGGGAUAACAGGCUGAUACCGCCCAAGAGUUCAUAUCGACGGCGGUGUUUGGCACCUCGAUGUCGGCUCAUCUCAUCCUGGGGCUGUAGCCGGUCCCAAGGGUAUGGCUGUUCGCCAUUUAAAGAGGUACGUGAGCUGGGUUUAAAACGUCGUGAGACAGUUUGGUCCCUAUCUUCCGUGGGCGCUGCAGAUUUGAGGAAGCCUGCUCCUAGUACGAGAGGACCGGAGUGGACGCACCUCUGGUGCAUCGGUUGUCACGCCAGUGGCAUUGCCGAGUAGCUAUGUGCGGAAGAGAUAACCGCUGAAAGCAUCUAAGCGGGAAACUCGUUCCAAGAUGAGAUCUGCCGGGGCCUUGAGCCCCCUAAAGAGUCGUUCAAGACCAGGACGUUGAUAGGUCGGGUGUGGAAGCGCAGUAAUGCGUUAAGCUAACCGAUACCAAUUGCUCGUGCGGCUUGACCCU
This 1482-nucleotide ribosomal RNA is filed under the name metagenome. RNAcentral describes it as "bacterial LSU rRNA". It matches the Rfam family "Bacterial large subunit ribosomal RNA", at positions 1444 to 2925 of the family's 2925-position model. The record is from RNAcentral.